AAACACCUGAGCUCCAAAAAUUCAAAUAGUGUCAUUUCAUUUGCCAUUUAAAAAAACCAAAAAACCAUUGAAUGGCAUUCUACCCUUUUUUUUUUAGUAAAACCUUAGCCCCUUUUCUAUCGUUUCAUCACCAUGAGCAGUAGAUAACAUCGAAUCCAACUCUAUUUGGAGUCUUAUCCUCCUAAUCCUCAUCUAAACUUUGAUUUCAACGAAACAAACAAGGAUUCGAAGGCCCUUAUCAAGGUAAGUCCCUCCCCCUUUUACAUAUUUACAUGAAAGAUUUAUGUGCAGGAACAAAGAAAAAGAAAAAAAACAAAUCGAAAACCCAAAAAAUAAACUUCAAAUCACCUCUUAAGAACUGAUUUUGGAUUGCUUGGUAUUUUAAUCUGUGUGUUUAUUCUCUUUUUUAUUGCAUUCGUAAAAAAAAGGUCCCUUUACAAUAUAUUUUCAAAGGCUUUUAUAACCUUUUUACAACCUAUUUUUACACUUUGCAGGUACGUGCGUGGGUAUAUCACUGAUGUGGCAUGGUGGAGCAGCGCACGAUGCAGAGGAAGCGCGCGAUGUGCAGUGCCUGGAAAUUGCCUUGGUUGUGAUGGCUGAAGGUGUUGGCUGCUAGGUUUUUUGUUUUUGUUCUUAUUAUUUUUUUUGGCUGUUGGGGUUUGCUUGGGGGUUUGGGUAAUUGGGCUUAGGGUUUUGGUUUUGGUUUUGGGAUUGGGCCCGUGCAGUAUUUGGGCUGGUGUGGGUAGUGGUGUUGGACUGUUUUGGUCUUUAUUUUUUUGUUUAUUUGUUUGUUGGUCUUGGGCCGGGCAAUUUUGGCCCAUUAAAAUAGUGGAAGGAUAAUAAGGUUUGUUUCUCAAACUCUAGAGUGCUAAGAAAUGUUAUUUAUGAGAUAUCCCAAAUAUAAAACUCUUUACUCGAGUUUAGUUGAUAACUUGAGUUAUGGUUGUCACUUUGAGCACUAAGUUCACUAAACUUGGCUUUCAUCUUCUCCACUUAAUAUUGGCAUUAUUAAGGUCAUUUGUGGUAAUUUACAACAUUUCUAAGCUUCCUGUAAAAUUUGGCUCCAUUCAAGGGGUCAUUUUGGGCUUGUUUGUGGCAAAAUAGGACAAAAUGAGCAAAACAAAGUAGUUGUAUCCAUUCG
This 1141-nucleotide long non-coding RNA is filed under the name Gossypium barbadense (sea-island cotton). RNAcentral describes it as "long non-coding RNA (GBAR_LNC011246)". The record is from RNAcentral. Lineage: Eukaryota; Viridiplantae; Streptophyta; Magnoliopsida; Malvales; Malvaceae.